GACGAACGCUGGCGGCGUGCUUAACACAUGCAAGUCGAACGGAAAGGCCCUGCUUUUGUGGGGUGCUCGAGUGGCGAACGGGUGAGUAACACGUGAGUAACCUGCCCUUGACUUUGGGAUAACUUCAGGAAACUGGGGCUAAUACCGGAUAGGAGCUCCUGCUGCAUGGUGGGGGUUGGAAAGUUUCGGCGGUUGGGGAUGGACUCGCGGCUUAUCAGCUUGUUGGUGGGGUAGUGGCUUACCAAGGCUUUGACGGGUAGCCGGCCUGGGAGGGUGACCGGGCACAUUGGGACUGAGAUACGGCCCAGACUCCUACGGGAGGCAGCAGUGGGGAAUAUUGCACAAUGGGCGGAAGCCUGAUGCAGCAACGCCGCGUGCGGGAUGACGGCCUUCGGGUUGUAAACCGCUUUAGCCUGUGACGAAGCGUGAGUGACGGUAAUGGGUAAAGAAGCACCGGCUAACUACGUG
This 468-nucleotide ribosomal RNA is filed under the name uncultured bacterium. RNAcentral describes it as "partial 16S ribosomal RNA". It matches the Rfam family "Bacterial small subunit ribosomal RNA", at positions 28 to 507 of the family's 1533-position model. The record is from RNAcentral.